CCAGAAUAAAAGUAGUUUAGUUUUCAUAACUCAAAGAAUUUGGCGGCUAAUUUUAAUUCAGGGGCAACCUGUAUUUUAAUUGAUAAACCACGAUAGUUUAUACUUCUUAUAUAUUUAUAUAUCUCUAUGAAUGAAUGUUUUAUUAGAAUGAUUUUCUUUUAGUUUAAUCUAAAAUAUUAGGUCAAGGUGUAGUUCUUAAGAUAGUUUAUAUGGGUUACUUUAGUUUAAAUUUUAAUAAUUAUUAAGAGUAACAAUUUUUAUUGUUUUAGUAUUUGAUAGUAAGUUUAAUUAAUUAAUUAAUUUGAAUUUU
RNAcentral lists this ribosomal RNA (310 nucleotides) under Oxyrhachis taranda. Its description in RNAcentral is "partial 12S small subunit ribosomal RNA". The record is from RNAcentral. Lineage: Eukaryota; Metazoa; Arthropoda; Insecta; Hemiptera; Membracidae.